RNAcentral lists this unclassified non-coding RNA (389 nucleotides) under soil metagenome. RNAcentral describes it as "partial contains 5.8S ribosomal RNA, internal transcribed spacer 2, and large subunit ribosomal RNA". The stretch from base 1 to 121 matches the Rfam family "5.8S ribosomal RNA", at positions 35 to 154 of the family's 154-position model. The record is from RNAcentral.
GAUGAAGAACGCAGCGAAAUGCGAUACUUGGUGUGAAUUCAGAAUCCCGCGAAUCAUCGAGUUUUUGAACGCAAGUUGCGCCCGAAGCCAUUCGGCCGAGGGCACGUCUGCCUGGGUGUCACGCAUCGUUGCCCCCCCAAACUCCGGUUCGGGCGGGGCGGAAGUUGGCCUCCCGUGCGUGCCUGCGCGCGCGGUUAGCCCAAAAGCGAGUCCUCGGCGAUGAGCGCCACGACAAUCGGUGGUUUUUUUACCCUCGUUCCUCGUCGUGCGUGCCCCGUCGCCCGAACGCGCUCUUGCAACCCUUACGCGUCGCCUCGGUGGCGCUCCCAACGCGACCCCAGGUCAGGCGGGACUACCCGCUGAGUUUAAGCAUAUCAAUAAGCGGAGGA